UACGGAGGAUCCGAGCGUUAAUCGGAAUUAUUGGGCGUAAAGAGCUCGUAGGCGGUCUGUCGCGUCUGCUGUGAAAACCCGAGGCUCAACCUCGGGCCUGCAGUGGGUACGGGCAGACUAGAGUGCGGUAGGGGAGAAUGGAAUUCCUGGUGUAGCGGUGGAAUGCGCAGAUAUCAGGAGGAACACCGAUGGCGAAGGCAGUACUCUGGGCCGUAACUGACGCUGAGGAGCGAAAGCGUGGGGAGCAAACAGG
Molecule: ribosomal RNA, 253 nt
Filed under: uncultured bacterium
Lineage: Bacteria
Description: partial 16S ribosomal RNA
Rfam family: Bacterial small subunit ribosomal RNA
Source: RNAcentral